RNAcentral lists this ribosomal RNA (943 nucleotides) under uncultured bacterium. Its description in RNAcentral is "bacterial SSU rRNA". It matches the Rfam family "Bacterial small subunit ribosomal RNA", at positions 522 to 1478 of the family's 1533-position model. The record is from RNAcentral.
AAUACGGAGGAUCCAAGCGUUAUCCGGAUUCAUUGGGUUUAAAGGGUCCGUAGGCGGAUUUUUAAGUCAGUGGUGAAAGCCGACAGCUCAACUGUCGAACUGCCAUUGAUACUGGAAAUCUUGAGUACAAAUGAAGUAGGCGGAAUGAGUCAUGUAGCGGUGAAAUGCAUAGAUAUGACUCAGAACACCAAUUGCGAAGGCAGCUUACUAACAUGUAACUGACGCUGAGGGACGAAAGCGUGGGGAGCGAACAGGAUUAGAUACCCUGGUAGUCCACGCCGUAAACGAUCAUCACUCGCUGUUGGCGAUAUACAGUCAGCGGCCAAGCGAAAGUAUUAAGUGAUGCACCUGGGGAGUACGCCGGCAACGGUGAAACUCAAAGGAAUUGACGGGGGCCCGCACAAGCGGUGGAGCAUGUGGUUUAAUUCGAUGAUACGCGAGGAACCUUACCAGGGCUUAAAUGUAGUUUGACCGGUCUGGAAACAGACUUUCUCUUCGGAGCAGAUUACAAGGUGCUGCAUGGUUGUCGUCAGCUCGUGCCGUGAGGUGUUAGGUUAAGUCCUGCAACGAGCGCAACCCCUAUUCUUAGUUGCCAGCGGUUCGGCCGGGGACUCUAAGAAGACUGCCAGCGCAAGCUGAGAGGAAGGUGGGGAUGACGUCAAAUCAUCACGGCCCUUACGUCCUGGGCUACACACGUGCUACAAUGGUAGAGACAGAGGGCAGCCACCUGGUGACAGGGAGCGAAUCCUUAAACUCUAUCUCAGUUCGGAUCGAAGUCUGCAACUCGACUUCGUGAAGCUGGAAUCGCUAGUAAUCGCGCAUCAGCCAUGGCGCGGUGAAUACGUUCCCGGGCCUUGUACACACCGCCCGUCAAGCCAUGGAAGCUGGGGGUACCUGAAGUCGGUAACCGUAAGGAGCUGCCUAGGGUAAAACUAGUAACUAG